Coffea arabica (coffee) is the source of this 1421-nucleotide long non-coding RNA. RefSeq lists it as uncharacterized. NCBI's taxonomy places the organism in Eukaryota, Viridiplantae, Streptophyta, Magnoliopsida, Gentianales, Rubiaceae. The record is from RefSeq and is a predicted model, not a curated record.
UUGGAGUUUCCAAAAGCCAACUUUAUCUCUGCAUAACUCAGACAGGAAGUCUGUCAACUAUAAAAGGGGUUGGAAUUCUUUUCACAAUAAAAGAGUUGAAAUUUGGAACAGUUGGGGACAAAAGGAAGGAAACUCUAGCAGCAGCUAAAAAUGGUGAUCCAGAGGUUGGAAUUAUGCAUAGAACUACUGAACCUUGUAAUUGAGUUCGUGGUGGUCUUUAUCAACGCUGUUGGAAUGGUUGUCGAUCAAACCACCUCGCUGCAUCUCUUUGCUUCCAAUCCAGCUUAUACCGUUCCAGCUCCAUAUGUCGGUCUUCUUCCUUAAAUCCUUUUUUUGCCACCAAAAUAUGUCUAGGAGAGCCCUUGUGCGUGUGCUGUUUCAGUAAUGUAUAGCAGAGCUUGUAUCUUCCAUUUUCAAGAUUGUAUCACGUCUGUCCAUCUUUGUGGUGCAUAUGCAUUUUGUCUCGAUGUACCUUUGCACAUAAAUUGAGAUUUAUACUUGAAGUUUUUGCAUUUGCAUUAGCUUGUCAUUUCCCCGGCAAAAUUUGUUAGGAAAUGUCACUGCUAAGGUGAUUUGGGCCCGUUUCGUUUCUUCUUGUUUCUUCAGGACAGUAAUGGCUUCCAAGUUCUAAAUUGUUAUUGUUUUUCAGUGCAAUAAAGAAUGCUUUCACCUGCAAGAUGGUUGCUAUGUUUGAUAAGCAGAAUGCUUGGUUUAUUAGUUUGUUACCGCUGACAAUAUGUAGUAUAUCUUAACUAAGGACCGAAAAUCAGAAAAGACUUGGCAGUUUCGGGAUGAAUGGUCAAUAUGGGCGGUGCAUAGGCCUCUGCCUCUAUGGCUCUAUCAGGAUCAUAAUACUCUGGCUUCUGUAGAAUGACAAAGAGUUGGUAUGUUCUUUGCAUUCAAAAGGAGGACUCAUAUGAGCGAGAUUCGCAAGAGUUGGCAUAUUCUGAAAGGAAUUUUGCUCAUUUUUUAGCUCCAAUUACAUACAAAAUUUGCACUCUUCGGCAAUCAGCAUUUCAAAGCGUCACUGUGGAUAUAACUUCGUCCUUUGUCUCUAUCCAUUUGUUCAAGUUAACGAAGAAGCCUAUGUCAUUGUAUUAUUGCAGGUGAGAUUCUUUAAGCUCCACCUCCUAGGCGGACGUUUUCCACUGAAUGAAGAGGAAGAAUGUAACACCAAACAUUCUUGAAGCAUGGCAGUGUUGGUGAAUUCUCGCUUACUUUACUGUAGGGCCUUAGUUGCAGAAUGUAUACUUCUUGCAUUAACAUUUUAUUGAUUGCUGAAGCAUGUGGUCUAGCUCAGCAGAUAUUGACAGCUUAUUCUAUCCUUUUCCAUUAGAAAAGAGGAAAAAGCUUUUCAAUAGAGGAGCAAAAUUGUGUAUUACUUGGAAGACUUGAAUACCAUAAAAGUCCAUUUCAGUGAC